GAUGAACGCUGGCGGCGUGCCUAAUACAUGCAAGUCGAGCGGUAAGGCCCUUCGGGGUACACGAGCGGCGGACGGCUGAGUAACACGUAGGAACGUACCCCAAAGUGAGGGAUAACUGCUCGAAAGAGUAGCUAAUACCGCAGGUGGUCUAAGGAUUAAAGCUUUAUGCGCUUUGGGAACGGCCUGCGUCCGAUUAGCUAGUUGGUAGUGUAAUGGACUACCAAGGCUUCGAUCGGUAGCUGGCCUGAGAGGAUGAUCAGCCAGACUGGGACUGAGACACGGCCCAGACUCCCACGGGAGGCAGCAGUAGGGAAUUUUCCACAAUGGGCGAAAGCCUGAUGGAGCAACGCCGCGUGCAGGAUGAAUGCCUUCGGGUUGUAAACUGCUUUUAUCUGUGACGAUUGUGACGGUAACAGAUGAAUAAGGAUCGGCUAACUCCGUGCCAGCCGCCGCAGUAA
RNAcentral lists this ribosomal RNA (458 nucleotides) under uncultured bacterium. RNAcentral describes it as "partial 16S ribosomal RNA". It matches the Rfam family "Bacterial small subunit ribosomal RNA", at positions 28 to 523 of the family's 1533-position model. The record is from RNAcentral.